Molecule: ribosomal RNA, 266 nt
Filed under: uncultured bacterium
Lineage: Bacteria
Description: partial 16S ribosomal RNA
Rfam family: Bacterial small subunit ribosomal RNA
Source: RNAcentral
AGUGGCGAACGGGUGAGUAACACGUGGGUAACCUGCCCAAAANAGGGGGAUAACACUUGGAAACAGGUGCUAAUACCGCAUAACCAUAGUUACCGCAUGGUAACUAUGUAAAAGGUGGCUAUACUACCGCUUUUGGAUGGGCCCGCGGCGCAUUAGCUAGUUGGUAGGGUAAAGGCUUACCAAGGCAAUGAUGCGUAGCCGAAUUGAGAGGUUGAUCGGCCACAUUGGGACUGAGACACGGCCCAAACUCCUACGGAAGGCAGCAG